UCAGAUGUUAUGUGGUUUAUUGAUGCGUGAGCAAGUCCUCCGUGUUGGCGCCGUUUUCGCCUCCGGUCUCCUCCGUGCCAUUCACUUCCUCCAGCACAACUGGAAACAGCUUGCACACGACAUCUCCACCGCAACCUUAAAUCCCAAAAUCACGGACCCUUGUCUCCGUGAAUGUAUAGUCUCCAAAUAUUUAACAAACCCGAAUCCGGAGCUGGCGGAACUCAUCUCAAAGGAAUGCUCGACGGAGGAGUGGGAAGGGAUUAUCACGAGAAUAUGGCCAAAUACUAAAUAUUUGGAUGUGAUUGUGACGGGAGCCAUGGCUCAGUAUAUUCCCACUCUCGAAUUUUACAGCGGUGGCUUACCCAUGGCUUGCACUAUGUAUGCUUCUUCCGAGUGUUAUUUUGGGGUAAAUUUAAACCCAAUGUGUAAACCCUCGGAUGUAACUUACACCAUCAUGCCAAACAUGUGCUACUGCGAAUUCAUCCCCCUCGACAACGAUAUGUCGUCUUCUCCAACUCAGCUUGUUGACCUCGCUGACGUGGAAGUAGGGAAAGAGUACGAGCUCGUGAUCACAACAUACUCUGGACUCUGUCGUUACCGAGUCGGAGACAUCCUACACGUCACUGGGUUCCACAACGCAGCCCCACAGUUUCGAUUCGUGAGGAGGAAGAAUGUUCUUUUGAGCAUUGAUUCCGACAAGACAGAUGAAGCCGAGUUACAGAAGGCCAUAGACAACGCCGCGUUGUUGUUGCGGGGGUUUAACACUAGCGUGGUGGAGUAUACGAGCUAUGCGGAUACGAAAACAAUCCCGGGACAUUACGUCAUUUAUUGGGAGCUUCUUGUGAAAGACGAAGAAACUGGAAAUUUCCCUCCAGGAGAGAUUUUAAAUCAGUGUUGUUUGGCUAUUGAAGAGAGUUUGAACUCGGUUUACCGACAAGGCCGAGUUGCGGAUAACUCAAUUGGACCGUUGGAGAUUAGGGUGGUGAGAAAUGGGACAUUUGAAGAGCUAAUGGACUAUGCGAUCUCGAGGGGUGCGUCGAUCAACCAGUACAAGGCGCCACGGUGCGUCAACUUCACACCCAUUAUCGAGCUUCUCGACUCUAGGGUGACUUCUGUUCACUUUAGUCCAUCCAAGCCACACUGGACACCAGAACGACGCGGCUAGAGACAUCAAUCAGUUUUUUAGGGUUGCCUUCUCAAAAUUGUUUUGAUGUGUAGGUUUUAUCUUAUAAUAUGUAUGCUUCUUAUUCCUUAAUAAUUAAAGGAUACAAAUAAUAAGUAGUCUUACCUUUUCUCACCCCACGUCUCUAACCAUGCAGAAAUUGCUCAGAUUGUAAAAUUUAAAAUACUCGACAUAUAAUGAAUAAUGCUCCCUUAUUAAUUUAAGAAAUUGUGAUAUAAAUUUUCAAACAAUUUCUUAAAAAUAUGAUAAAGUUAGAUAAUAUAAUUUUUUUGUUUUAUUAAAAAAAUUUGAGGGGAGGAAUACUUUGACCUUCAUAUUCUUGGCCAAUAAUUAGUAAUAAUUAGUAUUGUUCAAAGACUAUUCUAUUGGACAAAACCAAUUGGAGGGAGAUGGCAAUAAUAAUAAUAAAUAAAAUAAAAGUCAAAUCGAGCAUAAUGUACGGUGUUAAAUAAAAUUUGUAUUAGGUUAGUAAAUGAAAAUAAAUAAUUUUAUUCUUGCACGAUAUUAAAAAGUAAUUGUAGAUCUAGUCACUUUUUAUAGUUAAUGUGUAACAUAUCACAAAGACCAAGAAAGUAAAUCCCUAGUUUUUUAGCGCAUUUAACAUGACUUAAUUAGUUAAUUCACAUUUCUUUAUUCAAAUUCUCCUGCUUCUAUUUAUUGAAAAAUAAUUCCAAUAUUUUAAAAAUGAUAAUACUGAUAAUUUUAAAUAUAUUAAACUUGUAUUAGAAUGGUAGUUUUCACAAUCCAUGGAUCUAUAUGCUGCUUGAAAAUAAUUGUAACUUGAUUAACCGGUAGAAACACUAUUUAUUUAUAUGAUCAAUCGGAGAACAUGAAACGCGAACUUAAAUGGGCCUAUGGGCUAUCAUGGACCGCAGAUAUCAGAACACAACGGGUGGGCUUAUUGGUGAAACAGAGAGAAUCAAACUUAUACUUACUUUUCUUAUUGGGCCUAUGGGCUUAUUGGGCCUCGUCUAUACCAAAUUUUUAGAACAGUAAUAGGUUAUUAUAUUAUCUAAUAUAAAUGUAAAUUACGUAAUUACCGAAUCAAUAACCUAUACUUUCUUUUCUUCCUACAACAAUUGGUGAAACAGAUAAUCAAAUUACAGAUUUCGUGACUAUAAAAGUUAUCCGAUGAUAAUUGAGUUAAACUCUCGUUGAUGAAUCAAGGAGCUAAACUAUUGUUGAUGAGUCAAGAUAUUACACGUACUUCUAUACCAUUUGGAAUAUUUUUCCUUUGCAUGUUUAUUCAAUUUUAUGCACCUGCCUUCACACACCUAAUAUUAAUAUUGUUUUUUAUUUCUUGAAGCUUUGUUCUUAUUCUAUUUUCUGUUUUUUUUUUUUUUUUUUUUUGCUAUAUUUUUAUGUAUUAGUUUGCUUUUUAUUUUAAAAUAUUCGAAGUUAAAAAUUACCUUAAUUUUUUUUGAAAGAAUUUUUUUUACUAUGACUUUUAAAUUUCGUAAUAAGCAUAUUUCAUAAUUGUUUUUUUUAUAAUUUAUUUGAAACGGAAUUUUAGCAAUGUAUAAAUUUUGUUUGCUAAUUUUUCUUUUCAACUUUACUUAAUAUUUUACAAUCACAGUAUUUAUAUAAUGAUAUUACCGAUCUAGAUUUGAUGAAAAAAAUAUUGCAAGUCAAAUUUUGUAUUUAACAACUAUAUAUGAAAUUUUUGUAUCAUCAUUUUUUAUAUUUAAAUGUACGUUAUACAUUUUUUAUUUUGCAUAAUUAAAAUAUAUUUAAGUCAAGUAAGAAAAUACAAGAAAGUAGAAACGAAAAGUAGUUAUGAAACAAAAGUCUACAACAAUUUCAUAAUUUCUUAUUUAAAAAAAAUACCAAUCAUCUUCUAUACUCUAUAGUAGAAACAAAAAACAUAAUAUUAUAUGAAACGAUGUGGAAGAUCAUCGUUUUUUUUUUUUCAAGUAAAGAAAUGAUGGAGCAGAACGCUAUUAAAUAGUGGAAAGAAAAAUCAAAGGGGAAUUACAAAAUUUUCAAAUGAAUGAUGAGAAUAAAAGAUUAAUAAAGUUGAUUCUUCUUGUGACAGUGAAAGGGAAAAAAAAAAUGAAGGAUUGACCAAAAAUAAUGUAUAUUCUUGUAGGGGACAAGAGAAGCAAAAUUUCAACGAAUAUGUUCACUAAUUAUUAAUAUUAGAUAUGCAACAGAUAAUAGACUACUUAAUCCUACACUAAACACAAUAUACACCCUAAUUAACCACUAUUUUUAGAUAAUUGUCAAUAUAUAUAUAGAAACACACACACACACACAUUUGUUGGGUAUUUUCUUGAGAGAGGAAAUGUUAGCUUUUGACCACAGGAUCUGUCAUGGUUACCCAUCAACUUGGACUCAACUAGAGUUCUUAGACCAAAAAUCAAAAUAUAUAAAAAAGAAUCAAACCAUUUUAUUUUUUAUUAUGCUAUUUAAAAUAAUGGCAUUUAUUCCUAUUUUAAAUAGUUUUUCAAAUUACCUAAAAACAGAUAUGAAAAUUGAGUCAAAUCACAAACAAAAUCAAAAUUUUGAAACCACUUUUGUUUUUUUAAAAGGAAAAUAGUAAUAAUGAUAAUAAAAUAAUAAAAGGAAUAAUAGUUUGAAAAGUAGUAUUUAUCAUUUUUCAAAAAAAUUCAUUGUUUCGUCAGUAUUUAUUAUUAGUACUAGGAAUUUAUAAGAGAAAUUCUUACGAGUAUACUAUUUUUAUUUAAUCAGUAUAACAAACGCUAUGAUUUGAUGUUGUUGCAUGUAGAAUUAAUUUUAAGUUAGAUCAUAUUAUUUCCAGGUUCCUGUGUGUGUUGGACAUUUUGCUUUAUCGAUAUUAAGCAGGAGCAGGAGCAGGAGUAAUGAUAAUAAUAAUAAUAAACUUGUUCAAUUAGGAUUAGUAUUCGAUGUAAUUUAUUGGGUAGGUUGGAAAAAAAGUUAACCUACACAUUUAAUCCAUAAACUUUUGGUUAAUUUUUCAACUUCAUCUCUAAACUUUUUAAGAAAUAUAAUAUAUAUUCGAAAUUUUGUCUAAUAAAAUCGUUGAAUUUACAAUUUUUUAUGUAAUAAUUAUAUAUAUAUAUAUAUAUAUUUUCAUGAAGACAAAUUAGGGAUAGAUCAGAACUUUGAAUUUUAUAUAUGUCUAAUAAUUGAUCUAUUAGAUACUAUUAAAUUUCUUGUAAAAUCCAAAUCUAAAUUUUGAAUUUAAUUUUAAAUAGAUACGUAAAUAAAAAAAUUUAGGGGAUAGAUCAAGAAUCUUUUAGCUACACAAACUUAAAAAAAUUAGGAUGUAUUGGACGCAAAAGUAAAAUAUUUGAGGAUUGAUUAAAUAUUUUUUUAAGUUUUAAAAUUAAAGAGAUAUAAAAUUGAAAAUUAAAAAAAAUGUGUGAUUUGUGUUUUACCUCAUAGAUCUAAUUGAUAUAAAUUUGAGAGUUCAGGCUCUUAAUUUUGAACACUUUUAAGUUGAAGAUUAAUUUUUAUCAAACACUUUUGAAAGUUGAAAGAUUAAACUAAACAUACAAAACUUUAAUAAAAGUUCAAGAAACUAAACAUUUAUUGGACUUACAUAUGGUUUGAACACAUUAGAAGAAUCUUUAAAAAUGACAUAAAGCCUCCAGAUCAAUUAUGGAAAUACAUACUAAAAUGACUCUCAAUUAGAUGACUUUUCUCUAGUCUAUCAUCAUCUCUAACGGAUCGAUUUUUGUACUCUUUAACCUUAUGCAUUUAAUAUAUUAAAGAUAUUCAUUUGGUAUGGAGUGUGAUGAGAGUGCUAAAGAUGUAUUACUCUCAUGGAGAUAUUUGGGUACGCCUAUGAUAUAUUUUCGAUAUCGAAUUUUUUGAAAAAAAAGUGUAAUUGGACAAACAUUGGAAAUGUUUUGGACAUCCUAUGGUACCCUAUUUCUUUUGAUAAAAACUAGACAAAGUUAGAAAAUGGGGAGACACUUUGUUUAAGAUAAAACGUAAAGUAUUGUAAUUAAAAAAGAAAUGUGUCAAAGGGAAUAUUAAGUAGGGUUUUGAGAGACCAUUAUUAAACACAAAUUAACCAAUCAAUUCAAAAAGGGCAAACGCAUCUUUCUUAACCACCGACCUGUUGUUGUUUUGAAUAAAAACAUUUGUCAUUGUAGCUGGCCAUGAAGCUAAGCUAGGGCUUAGCUUUAGCUACCUUCAUAUGUCGACAACAUAUGGGCAAAUAUCAGUUUUGUGUGUCUAUUCAUUCACUGCAAAGUGCAUCUGCUACAAAUCCAAACAUGUCAUAUUAUAGUCAUAUUAGUCGUAGACCCGAUUCAACUCGACCGAUUCAUGUUCACCUCUAAACGUUUAUUGUAUACAUCAACGUCUAAAGUAUGUGGGUGUUUAUAAUGAUGUUAGUUGAUGAUCAUGAUUUUUUUUUCUCUUAUUAUUAUUAUUAUUAUUGAAAUGUCUUGAAUAUGUGUUUAGCUAUAUCAUUCUUAUUAUAAUAAAGUUGUUUCUUUCCUUCGUUGUUUACGAAGAAUGACAUAGAUAAACAUACUACUUGUGAUGAACCAUAUCAAUCCAUAUAUGUGAGUUCUUUUUUUUGUGCAUGACAAUGUAAUAGAGUUAUACAACAAUAUCAAUGAUCUAUAUUCAUAUUGUUACACUUGUUAUUUUAUUUUAAAAAAAAUUAUGAUGAAUGUUUACUUCAGAGAAGAGAUUAUUGGAAGUACUACCAAGACCGGACAAUAUAUAUCUACAAAAGAAGAAGUUCAUGACUAUAUAAGAGUGAGAAAUGAUAUCUACAUCCUUACUGCAUCUCAAAUCCAAUUGGUGUGUUCCUUAAUCCUUGCAAAUGCCAACAAUCUUGGACCAUCUUCUGAUGCAAUAUCCUUAUUCGAUAAUGAUUCUCUUUUCUCAUAACUCGGCAAAGAAAUUUCUAAUUGCUUCUUGAUGCACUAAAUCUAUAUAUCCUUUUUUGUAAUUAUAAUGAAAUAAUUGUAUCUCUUAAUUGAAAUGUUCUUACUUUGAUCAUAUUUUGUAUAUUUAUUGUUUAAUGAACAACAUGUCAAGAAAAGGGAACAUGUUUUCAUUGACACAUGAUGUAUAUUUUGAGUGAUUCUAAAAACAAUAGCAAGUGAUUGAGAACUUAGUUGUUUAAGGUAGACAAUAUAUAAUAUAGUUACAUGAAGAUAUUUAAGAAGUGUGCUGUUGUCCCAACAAUUUUGUGCUGAGAAACAUAUGGAUAUAUAAAAACAGUGACAAUGGUUCAAAAAAAGGAAAAUUGAAACACAAAGGGAUAAAGAUUAGAAUCCAAAGAGAGUGGGUUUCUUUUGAUAGGAUGAUUAAACUUUGAUUUCACAUUGAAAAUUAAUCUCAACUAGUUUUUUCUCCAUCGAUAUCCUUUCCCUAACAUAUAUUUAUAUUUGGAUUGACAAUUAUGGAUGUUGGUCUGAUUCAAUGCAUGGUCCUAAAAGUUUUGGAACUUGCCUCAUUUUAGCCAAGCAAAAAUGCUAUCCACAAUCCAAUCUAUUUCUCCAAAUUCUUUUGUGGUGGGUGAGCACUUUAUCAUUUUUUUUGAAGUAUGAUUUAUUUUAAUCAAUCCUUUGAUCCCUUUACCUAAUUGGAUGAGUCAAUAAAAUCCUAACAAAAUAAUUGAUACCAAAAAACACAUAAAUACAUCCUAAACAUGUGUCCAACACAAUUACAAAAACUAAACGUUUGUAUAAAGAGUCUCCCUCAAUCUAAAAGUUGUUUGUGCCUAGCCACAAAUCUCCAAAAGAUAUAAUCAUUGUGGUACAACACUAUAGAAUAUGUCAUUCCAUAUCAAAUUUAAGCAUAGUAAUUUAGUUAGAUAAGACUAGAGAUGUUUCACCCGUGAAAUGGAGCUGGAGAUGACUUUUGCGUUCUUGUCCAUGUCCUUGUUUCGUUCUCCAUCUUCUUGAGAUUUUUUAAUUAAUUUUCGUUGAUUUAGUGCUCAACCCAAAAUUCAAUUUAUAUAUACUAGGAUUAACCUUUUUCAAUAAUAUAGUUAAUUUUUGUGGAAAAAUUAUUUAAAUGAGAUUAAUUCCAUAUGAAAAAUUUUUAAAUUAAAGAGACAUUAAUUAAAUUUUUGUAGUAUAAUAACAACCAUAGUUAUAAUAAUAAAUUACAAAAUUAUAGAAGGCAAACAAACCUAUGAUGUCUAAUUCAAUGGGAAUCUCCACUCAAUUAAUUAAAGCCAAAUUUUUACAAUUUCUAUCCUUGAUCAACUAGUUAAUGGUAAAAAGUUAAAAAUUCAAUUUAACUCAAUCCAACUUAAUUUUAGCCACAAACAAUCAUUUGUCGUACAAUUACUUCUUCCAUAUUAAAAGUUAAAUCCUACAUCUUUACUAAAAAUAAAAUGAAAUAUUGUUUUUUUAGGGUAGGGGAGUAUUAAUUAAUAAUUAUAAAUGAAUAUAUAUAAUUUGAUUUUGGACCCACCGAUUGACAAAGUGUUCCACAUCCACGAUUACGAGAGAGAUCAUCGCAUUAAUAUCAAAUCCCAAGCUAAGAAAGGCACGUGAAAAGGUAUUUUUAUUAAUUAGUUCAAAUAUUUUCAUAAUAAUUAAGCUAAGCUCACGAGUGUUCGAUUUAUCUUUCAUUUAAUUUAUCAAAACAUUAUUUUUUUUAUUAUUUCAAUUUAUAGUAAUGUUUGCCUAAAGAAGGGUACUUUGUUUUAUUUUUGUGCCGACUCACACAUGCGUGAACUUAAAAGUGCGUUCUUUAAAAUCAUAACAUUUACAUUAAUUAACUUUAUACUAUUACUGUUGUUGUUGUUAUUAUAUAUACGUUCUUGGUUGCAAAAAUGAAUAGAGAGAUGGGAAAAUAUGAGGUAUUAUAAUAACAACACCAAAUAAAAUUUUACAUGAAAAUUAACGGAAGACUGUCAUUUCUUUUUAAUUAAAAAUUUUUAUCCAACUGUGAGAUGACAAGUAUAGUCAAUCUAACUAUUUAGGUAGUUCAAAAUAUAUAUAUAUAUAUAUAUAUAUAUAUAUAUAUAUAUGUCAUAAUUAUUAUUCCUUAUUUUUGUAGUUGAAAAUUUAAUUUUGCACUUUUAAUUUGUAAUUAAUGGUCACUUUGAAAAUAAAAUCACCUAAACAAGGGUAAGAUAAAACCUAUAGGUACAAAACCCUAUACAUGCUACCAAUACCAACCACAUGCCCAAAAGUGAAUAAAAUUAGACUUAUUAUUGCUUCAAUCAACCCUAAUAGAGAGGUAGCUAGUAUAUAAUACAUAUUUAUACUUUAGACAAAAAAAAAAAAAAAGAAUCUUUCAAAAUUUGUGGAUGUGUGUGACAUGUAAGAGUAAAUGUUAGUUCGACGAGAUUGUAUAGUUUAUCGUCAUAUAUGACUUUACAAUGCUAUAGAUUACAACCUAACCAAUGAACAAACAUACGUAGGGAAUUUUUUCACACAAAGGCAUGGAAAGCACCAUCUAAGGAAGAAAAGUUGUGCAAGUCAUAUCAUAUAAGAUUCUUAGAUGAGAAAAACAAUAUAUAUAUUAUAUGAUGGUGUAAUGAAUGAAUAUAACAUGGGUGCCUUACUUUUGUAGGGCAAAAGGAAAAGAAAACAAAAUAUCUUUCUCAAAUAUAUGGUCAUUUUCAGAAUAUAUACAUAUAACAAGUUUAAAAGAGUUUGUAGUUUUGUGAGGUAAGAGUUAAAUACAAGUGCAUGCAUAUGUCUUGUCUGGUUUUAUUUUGAUUAUUGCUUGUCCCAAUUGUCACUCUAAAAUAUAUUGUUGUCGUUGACUCAAUUAAAAUCCUAAGCUUCAAACAUCAUUUUCUAUCCACUCCACAGCCAGCUCUCUUCUACCUCUUUUUUCAUCCCAUCUUCUUCCUCGUAUACGUGUGUUUCUUUCCCACUUAUAUUAUCAACACGUGUGUGUCUGUGCUCCCAACCCAUGCAUCUAAAUUCAACUCAACCUUUUUGCAACUUUAAAGUCCCAAAAUACAUAUAAUACAUAGAGAUAUUUAUAAUAAAUUCUAAUAUUUAGUUGGAGGUUUCCAUGCAUCUUCUAAUCGAUCUUUUUUAGUAUAUUUCUCAAAUAAUUGUUUCCAAUCCAACAAUUUGUUUCCAAUUCUCUUUUUAAAAUUUCAUUAUCUUCUCAUUAAUCCAUGGUUAAUUGUAUGAUAUACUCCGUUCAAAUAAUUUUUAGAAAAAUCUUCGACCGACUCGCAUUUGAGAGAUUGUUAUAAGCACGAUAUGUUUAAGAUUUUUGUAAUUAUAUAAAACUUCUUUAAUUUCUUGGACAUUUGUUUAGCCUGUCCACUGUUUUCAUUAAUGAUAGUCUGAAGUAUCGUUAAAAAAAAAAAAAAGUGUGUGGGAGAAACAUAUGGAAAAGCUACAGGAGAGUGUAGCAAAAUCUAGGGCUAUAGAAGAAGGGCUGUAAUUUGUAAAAAGUUGGUAGUGAAUAUCUUUGACUGAUUUAGAUGGUACACCAAACUAAGUUCGUAACCUAAAUUGUAGAAUUUACCCCAAAUGUCUCUCAAAUCAAAUAAUUAAUACAGUAUUGUACUAACAAUUUUUUUAAUUUAACAAAUUAUACAGAAGACAUCAAACCAUCCAUCUUUAAAAUAAAAAUUGAAGUCUUUAUUUACUAAAUUAUGUUUGAAUUGACCUUAAUUAAUAUUAAUACUCAAAACAUACUUUUUGCCCAAAUAGUUUGGGAAAGGUCAAUUUGUAAAUUCAACUUAUUUGUUUUUAUUUUUGUAGUUUAGUAGUACGUCCUACCCUUAUCAUGCGUGAUUGAAGGAUUUUUUUAAUUUAAUUGUUAAAAAAGAAAAGAAAACUAUAUCUCUCACUGAUUAAUUUCUCUAUCUCUUUUGAGGUCCAAAAGGGUUGCUUUCUGAACGCCAUAUUCGUAUCAAAACAAAAAUUUCUUUACCCCUUACCUAAUUUUAUCAACUAAUUCGGUAGAAACUGAGACUUGAACCUAAGUUUAGAAAGAUUUAAGAAACUAAUUUAUCUUUAAGAUCAAUUAAUAAUUUAAUAUAAAAUUAAUUUAUAUAUAUAUAACGAAUUCAAAGUUGAGGGAGUUCGGAUGGUAAUAACUUUAUUAUAAAUAUAAUAUAUAUGUUAUGAACACAAUCCUUCCCUUAUCACAAGAUUUGUUUUUCUUUUCUUUUUAUAAAUUGACCUGAGUAUGAUUGUGAGAAUGACCAUACCCUUUGAACAAUAUAAUGUACAAAUAUAGGUAUUAGUAUAGUACACGUAAUGUAUUCUCUAUGUUUUAUUAUUUUUAUAUUAAUUAAAAUAGGGACAGUUUUGGUGUUUAUUGAGGGCAGUAGGGAAGGAGGAUCUAGUUUAGGAGAUUUUAUGUUUGCAUGUGAACCUCAACAGUGUUACUAACUUGUUAUUCUUACAUUUAUGAAUUUGAAUAAGUACAAGUAAUUUCUCUUUAACUUUUAAUUCAAUGUUUUGACUUUAUGUAGCGUAAAAUUCUUAUUUAUUUCAAAAUUUUCUAUAAAAAUAAAAUACUUAUGCUCAAUUUCGAAAUAAACCCGUACGUUUACCAAGAGAAAUUCACUUAAAAUAGAAGUGUUCUUGAGGAAUAGUUUAGCAAAAAAAAAAAAAAAAAAUUAUAUUUCUAAAAAAUAUGUUGGCUUUCAGAUUGAUGAGUGAUUUUAAGGUAGCCUCAAAAUUGAUUGUUCAGUGUUUAAAUCUAUACAAUAUCAUUCUUGCAUUGAUAUUUAUUUUUCACAUAGUAAGUAUUCAACAAAUUUUUAUGUCAUACAAAUCAGGAAGAAAACAUCAUGAUAUAAUUAAAUUUUACCAUUAUCUAUCAAUUUGAUUAUUAUUAUUAAAAAAGAAACGCUUUUGAGUUUAUUAAUAUGAGUUAACAAGAAAGAGAUAGGGUUGGUUAGAUAUAUACUGUGGUUCAAAAUUACUUUUAAAAUUAAUUAUUAUGUAGUAGCUAUAAACAAACAUAAAACUAAAAUAUGGUUAAAAGUUAUGUACGGUUCGUUUCAUGCUUCAUGUUCUUAUCUAUUCCAUUUCAAAUUCAUUUUUUAAAAUAUUUUAUUCCAUCUCUGUUCUUUCAUUUAUGGAUCAUAAUAUAAUCUUCAUUAUACACUUCAUAUUUUUCUAUGAAUGAUUUUUGUGAUUUUAAUUUAAAGUGCACCUUCAUAAGUAUAUUAAUACUAUAACCAUCAAUUAGGUUGCCGUUGGUUUUUCAAUUUUUUGUCAAAUUGUUUAAUCUCAGUUUUGUCAAGAAUCUUUUCCAGUCUUUAAAAAAAAUUUAGCCAGGCUCAAUAAAAGAAAAGAAAAACAGUUUCUUCUAUCCAAACACAAUGAAUUUUGAAUGCAGUGAUUAGUGUCAAAAUAUGGGGUAGAAAUGAAAUUUUAAAAAUAAAAUGUCUAAUUUAAAUUCAAAAACUAAAUAUAAAUUAAAUUUUAGUGACUAACAAGAGUUUAACUUAACUAGAUAAAGAGAUUCGAGUUAAAGUAUAAAGGAUGUACUUCAUCCAUGUAUAUUGGAAAACAUAAAAUUGAGUAAAUUAGUGGAUAGAACGUGUGGACAAGUUUUUGACAAACUCCUUCCAACCUAACUGUGUGUUCUGAAUGUAAUAAUAUGAGAAAAUUUGGUAAGAAUAAAGAACCAUAAUUUGUCUCAAUGUUUGACCAUUUUUUUGCAUUCUUUACAAUUUAAAAAACCCAGCUUCCUUCAAAACCAUAUUAUUCUAAUGGCACUUCCUUCCUCACAUUACAUAAAACUAUGUUAUUUUCUCCAAAUCAUUCCCAUCAAAGAAGAUCUUGGUCUCCAAAUCAUUUUUAUUCUUUUUAUUUCUUUCCUCCCCCAAAAAAUGAUCAUAAUAAUGCCAUUUAAUUAGGUUAUUUUAGUACUUCUAUUAAUUAUCUAUACAUUGUUACAAAUAAAUCAUUCAGUAAAUAAGAGAAACAAUUUAGGAGAAAAGAAAAAGGCAAAGAGGCAGAAAGUUAUAUAUAUAAAAAAAAAAGUGGAGGAAAUUAAGAAUAAUAAUUGAUCUCAACAAUAAUAAUAAUGCAUGUGUAUGGUUCUGACUUUGAAUACCGGAUUACUCGCACGCUUCAUAACUCAUUAAUUAAUGAAGUUUGUGAAAGUCAUGAUAUGAGAGGUUUUAAAUAUGAAGCAAACGUGUGUGUUUCUUUUUUCUCUUAAAAAGUUUUUAAAAAGGAAAAAAUCAAAGUCAAUGGCGACACACAAACAUAAUUUGCUCUUACUACAAAACUUUGAUUUUUCAAACCCUAAUUCCUUUGACCAUCCGAAUGUUUUAUGGUAACUUAACAAGAAACCCCCUAUAAUCCUAAUCACUUUAAUUUUCCCAAUUUUCAAAGCUAAAUUCAUACAUUUUCACUAAUUCUUCUUUUAAAAUAUAAAAAUCUUCUUAACUCUUUGUUCCUUUGUUGCUAGACAAACAGGUCGGCCCACUGGAUUCUUUGACUCGGAAUCAUCUAAUUAUAAUUUUCAACGCCCAUAUAUCUCUCUUUCUUUUAAACGUUUUUCUUACGCAAACAACCCCUAAUAUUUUUUCUUAUACUUUACAUUUAAUCCUCACCUAUCUCUCUCUCUCUCUUAUUGCUUCUGUUUUCAAAGAUGGAAAUAAAAAAAAUAUAUCUAAGCUUUUAAUAAAAUAUUGAUGAUCUUGACCUUCCAAACGUUUUUUUUUCUCUCUUAUAUGUUGUUCAUAAUGUUACAUUUCAUAUGAGUACAAAGGAGGAUUCAAAUUUGUUAACUGUUGAAAGAAAUGAGGAUAUAUCUUAGUUAUUGACUUGGUUUUUGUCGUUGGGUUUUUUUUCUUUUCCAUCCAUCGUUUCUCUAGAAACUCCAUAUUAAUGUAGGAUAACUUAACUAAUAUUUGUAAUGUACUUUUACAAAAGUUUUAAGAAAUUUUUACUGUGUAAAUGUAUAAUCAUAACAAAUACUUUUAUUAAUAUUCAAGUUUUUUUCUAAAAAAAGAGAGAUGAAUUGACUCAUUAACUAGUAAUCGUGAAAACUAUAUAUAUAUUUUUUUAAAACAAGUCACUCAAGAGAAAAGAGAUCAUAAGAAGUAUGGUAAUUAAAAAAGACUAUGUAGAUUUAAUUAGUCUUUAGCUUAGUUAAUAAAUUGUUUUAUCACUUUUAAAAGUUAUUAUGUUAUAUGCCGUUUGGAUUGAAAAAUUACUAGAAAUCAUCAUGAAUGGCAUCAAAAUAAAUUUGUUUAUAAAAUAUAGUAAAAAUUGGAUGAAUUUUACAAAAUAAUAAAUGUCCAAAUCAUACCAAAUAGAAGUUUUAUCAAUUAAUAACUAAAUAAUGAUGGAAAUUAAAGAAUUAAAUCCUAUAUCUACUAUGGUUGUAUUAUAAAAGAUUUUUUUUUCGAAGAAUAAUGGAGGAGAUUAAAUGUUAGCUAAGUAACCUUUUACAUGUCAAUAUGUCCAAUAGGAAGAUCAAAACUUGUCAUUUGUGGGUCAUUAUAUUGAUUAAAUUGAUUGCUGUAUUGGAGAUGUGUCACUGUUUUUAGUUUAUUGUAAUUUGAUAUAUGAUUUUUACUUUCCCAAUUUACGUCUUUAAAUUCUAUGGUAAAUAAUCUUAUUUUUAGAAGAACUAGGGAGAUAACUGAGAACACACCACCAUCUCAUAAAAUCUUGAAUUAUUAUUCUUUCAAUUAUUAUCACUUUUUUUUUUUUUUACAAUUUUCUUACUUUAGUUUAGAAAAUCAUCAACUACUAAAUUGUGAUGGGAAACAAAAAUAAUAGAAGAAAAAGUAGUUAGGGUUUGGCAAUAAAUGUUUGAUUUUCUAAGUAGAAGCAAACACAAUCAAACCUAUUAAUAAAACUUAAAGCUUUUUCUUGCAAAGAGGUACAAAGGUUGUCUUAGCCAAAUUUUGAAUGGUCAUAACAUUUUUCAUUAACAACAAAUAAGAAUUGUAUUUAACCCUAAAAUCUUCUUUUCCUUUAAAUAGAAAAUUGAGGCAAUAACAAUAGUUCAAAGCUGAAAAUGAACCAACAAACUAAAUCAUUUUUUCUACUUUGUUUUCCUAUUUUUGAAGCCAUUGAUUCAAUUGCAUAGUAAAAAUGCUCAAAUUUUAUUAAAAUUUUAAUUUUCUCUCACACAAUAAGAGAAAGUUUAGUAUGAUUAUCAUUGAAGUUAAAUUUUGUAUUUAUAUACCAUUAAGUACCCAACUAUAGUCAUUUUUUUUAAAAAAAAUACUUUUCUCCAAGGAGGCAUAAUAUUACAAAACUUUACUAAUAAUAAUAACAAUAAUAGUAAUAUUUCAAAACUAGGGAAUGUAUAAUCAACCUCUAUAAUAUUUAAUUUAAUUGCAAAAUCAUUAUAAAUAUAGACAAACUGAGUAAAAAGUACUUAACUAUUUAAACCAAUAUAGGACAUUGAAUAAAUUAACAUAAUUAAUCAAUGGUUUUAUCACAUUUAUAUUUAUAUAGCUUGGAAAUAUACUCUAUAUAUAACAAGAGAUAAACCAUAAGAAAAGUUUUGUUUUGUCUCUACAAUAUAUUUUUAGUAGAACAGAUGAACAGUAUAUAUUCCAGUGUCCAAAAAAACCCAAACAAAUUAAAAGGUAAAUUAGAUCUAAACAGUUUUUUAGAUACCAUGAAGAUCAAAGCAUAUUUGAUAAUUCUUACUUCUUGAGACAUGCAGAUUGGGAGAUUUAAAUUCCUCUUCUCUUCACCUUUUUUAACAAUGAUGGUUUUCUAUGCUUUUUCUUUCUAAACCUUAUUGUUAUUAUUAUUAUUAUUCAUUAUUCAUUAUUAUUAUUUUGCUUAUAUAAUUAACUUGGGUAUAAGAUAAGGGUUGCCAGUUUUUCAAUUAAUUUAUUUUAUUAAUAUUAUUUGGCAGCUUAUAUCAUUGCUGGUGGCCUCUCUCUGCAACUUAGAUAUUUAGCAAUAUACAUGAACUUUUAUAUUAAUAUACACCAUAUAUUAAACUUUCCCUAAACUCAUAACAUAAAGAAAUUAUGCUAAUAGUAAAUUUGCUGUAACUAUCUAAUUUUCUUUAAAUAUUUUUGUUGCCAAAAUCAACUUUUUCUAUAUACUUUGGAAAUUUAAUGAUUUAAAGUGACUUUAACAUAGAUAAUUGACUAAAUGACUUGAGAUGAUAAAAGAAUGUGUAUAAAGAUAUUUAUUUUAUUUGUAUUAAUUUAAAUUUACUUUUGUGAAAUAAAUAAUCUAAAAAUGAUUUAUUUGAAUUAAUGUUAAAAAAAUUUAAUAUAGAGGAAAUCCGACACCACACCAAAAUUGAUAUUAAAUACAAUCGUAAGAGAAAAACAUUUUUAUUAAAAAUGGUUUUCUAAAAAAUGUUUAAUGCACAAGGUAUUCAAAACAAGUUCUUAUUUAAAUGUCAAAUGAAAAAAUAAUUUUCUUUUGUGAAACAUAUAUUAGCAAUUUUAUAUGUUUAUAGAAUAACAUAUUGUUAAUUAUAAGACAAAAAUCGAAUGCAAUAUAAUGGUUUUUUUUUUUCUUUCAUUUGAUUUUUUAAAAUGUAGUGUUUUGAUUAUCUUUUUUUUCUUUUGAGAAAUUUCAAUCUAAAAAGUCAAAGUUUUGCAACAAGUGAGAUAUGGUAAAAGAAGAAAAGAAAACUAGAAUUAAGAUAUUUAAACACUUUAAAUUAACUAAUCAAUUAAAAUUAAUAGUCAAAAUUAAUGGUCAAAAUUUAGAUAUUAUACACUUAAAAUUUUUGGUGCAUGGUUCGCACUUAUAAUUUUUUAUAAGAUAUAAUAUUUUCUUAAUUAUUUGUUAGUGGACAAGCUGACUGAGUGUUCAAAAAAAAAAAAAAAAAAACCAACCAAGGGAAAACUCUACCUCACGUAAUCAACUGGGCUUUGAAAAAUAUAAUAAACUAGUUCCUUAAAUUGUAUUUUAAACGAAAAAGUAAUUAAAGUAAAAGUUUUGAAAGUUUAGAGUAAAGUUAUAUAUUAUAUAAGUUUAGCAUUAAUUAUAUUAAUUAUUGAAGGAAAAGGAAACACAUUAAGUUGGCGAAGAAAACUAUGUAGAAUUGCAAUGCAACUGUCAUAAGUUUAAUUUAAAAAUAAACAAAAACAAAAACAAAGUGAAUUUUACCUACCCUCUUCAUUUUUAAAUGCCGAGACAGCUUCAAAAACUAAAAUCCUAAUCAACUGGAAAAGGAAAAAAUAAAAUUAAUAAUCAACGUCAUGUUCACGUGAUACAGCACCAAAUAAUAAUUCAAUAAUUCCCACAAUGAUCUUAUCCUCAAUUAAUCUAUUGCCCUUCUAUUCUAAAUCAUAAUCUCAUUACCUUUCUUUUUUCUCUUUAAAUUAAAUCUCAUUGUUUUCUGUAUAAUUUAAAUAAUAUCAUGAUUAAUUAAAUAUUUUCAUGUCUCCGACCAAUUUCUAUUAAAAGGAAAGUUUUUUUUUUUAUCGAAUAUUUUGUUUAACCUCUUCUUUCCAUCUUUCAUUACCCUAUGCUUUCCAUAUUUGCUUAUACAGUGCCUGAAUCAAAAUAUGUGUGUUAACAAAAUAUCAUAUGAGUUAACUCGUUUGAACAUAGUUUAAAUUCAUAGAAAUUUGAAAAUGAAGAACAAUUAUUUUUUAACAACCAUUGUAAUUUUUGAAACUUGGUUUAAUUUUUGAGUAAAUAAUGAAACAUAUAAAUUAAUGUCUAACGAAAAAAACCAUUGGUAAAAUCCAGACUUCAUAUUUGUUGGAUAAUAUCCUUAAAAACCAUAAUGAUAAUUUAAUUAAUUAAGAUACCAUUCAUGGUGAUCAACCUCCAGCUCAUAAUUGAUACAGUUAUAAAGUUAAAAUCUAAGAAUAUAAAAGGUAAAUUUGGAAAUGGUUUGAUUGGAAAAUGAUUAAAUUAAUGAGCGUAAAAUGAUUAGGAUGGGAUUUAGUCGUUAAGAUGAAGAUACUGAAAUUAAAAAGGAAAAUAUGAAGGAAGGAGAAAAGAAAAGAAAAACAUAACCACAGUUUUGGCCGCCUUCCUCCCGUUCCGUUCCCUUCAGAAAUUGGCUGCUUCCGCCGGCAGCCGUCGUUAUCUCCAAUAAACACGGUCCUCACUCCAAGACAAACCCUUAUUUGACCUGGCACAACAUGUGGGCCUCACCUUGUCUUCCCCUUCUUCAGCACACCUAUGUGUCUUGGCCCCACAUGUUCCUUCUCCCCCACACCACUUUCCCUCUCCCAAAUUUUCCUUUCUUUCCUUUCUUUACAUGACGUGGAUAUUGACGUGUCAUCCACACCAUGCAUUUCCAUUUCCCUAUAUAAAUCCCACACUCACAACUUCUCUACUCAUCUCUUUUCUUCCUCUCAUUCCUUCUCUCCUCGCAUCCUUUCAAACUCGUUUUAAUUUUAUCAAAUAAUGGCCGUUGUUGAUAAUUCUGAAUUUUCAACUCCUCUUGGACCGCCUGCCUGCGAGAAAGAUGCCAAAGCCCUUCGUUUUAUAGAAGAAACCACUACUAAUACUGACUCGGUUCAGCAAAGGGUUUUGGCUGAGAUUCUCACCCAAAACGCUCACACUGAAUAUGUCAACCGGUUCCGGCUCAAUGGAGCUACCGACCGGGAUACCUUUAAAUCCAAAUUUCCUGUUGUCACUUAUGAAGAUCUCCAACCUGAUAUUCAACGUAUUGCUAAUGGCGAUCGCUCUCCUAUUUUUUCAUCCCAUCCCAUUUCUGAAUUCCUCACCAGGUUUCAUUUCGUAAUUCCCCCUUUUUUUUGCUAUUAUUAUUUAUUAAUUAAACUAAAUUAACUUAGGGUUAAUUAUAUAUGUUUAAUAAUUUAUCCAGUUCUGGGACAUCGGCUGGAGAGAGAAAAUUGAUGCCGACAAUUAAAGAAGAAAUGGAACGGCGUCAAUUACUAUACAGCCUUCUCAUGCCCAUCAUGAAUCUGUAGGUUUUCUUCUUUUUUUAAAUUAAAAAAAAAUAAUUUGGUGAAAAUUAUAUAUAAAAAAAAUUUGACAAUGAAAAAAAAUAUAUAUAAUUUUCAGGUAUGUGCCGGGAUUGGACAAAGGAAAAGGACUCUACUUUUUAUUCGUGAAGGCGGAGACUAAGACUCCUGGAGGUUUGGUGGCUCGUCCAGUACUGACUAGUUAUUACAAGAGCGAUAUCUUCAAGACUCGGCAUUAUGACCCUUUCAAUGACUACACUAGCCCUAACGAGGCGGUUUUAUGCGCUGAUUCUUUUCAAAGCAUGUACACUCAAAUGUUAUGUGGCUUGUUGAUGCGUGACCAAGUCCUCCGCGUUGGUGCGGUUUUUGCCUCCGGUCUCCUCCGUGCCAUUCGCUUUCUCCAGCUUAACUGGAAACAGCUGGCACACGACAUCUCCACCGGAACCCUAAACCCUAAAAUCACGGACACUUGUCUUCGUGAAUGUAUAACCUCCAAAUAUCUAACAAACCCGAAGCCGGAGCUGGCGG
Molecule: long non-coding RNA, 18455 nt
Filed under: Cucumis sativus (cucumber)
Lineage: Eukaryota; Viridiplantae; Streptophyta; Magnoliopsida; Cucurbitales; Cucurbitaceae
Description: long non-coding RNA (CSAT_LNC002485)
Source: RNAcentral